This is a non-coding RNA of Sesamum indicum (sesame), 282 nucleotides long. The record is from RefSeq and is a predicted model, not a curated record. Lineage: Eukaryota; Viridiplantae; Streptophyta; Magnoliopsida; Lamiales; Pedaliaceae.
CCAAGGAACCUUGCAAGCCAAUCCUAAUCCCGGUCAAUUGCCUAAUAAAGAAGGUGAAUGGAUCACUAUCAAUUAUGUCAAUUAUUUCACCCUAUCAGGUGGUGGAGUUUUUGAUGGUCAAGGACAAGAAGCCUGGAAGCAAAACGAUUGCCACAAAAAUAGAAAUUGUGCCAAGCUUCCCAUGAAUCUUAGCUUCAAUUUCGUCAACAACUCCAUAAUUCGUGAUGUGACCACAAAAGAUAGCAAGAAUUUCCACGUGAAUUGUAUAUCGAGCCAUAAUGU